This is a non-coding RNA of Podarcis lilfordi (Lilford's wall lizard), 70 nucleotides long. The record is from the annotation of a GenBank genome assembly. Lineage: Eukaryota; Metazoa; Chordata; Lepidosauria; Squamata; Lacertidae.
GGAGUUCAGCCCUUUCUGUGUCCCCUGUUUGGUGAAAUGCAAACAGGGGACACAGAAAGAGCUGAACUCC